CGGGUCACAACACACAUUUUUUAAUUAAGAUACCCCAAUGUGGCCAAGUUUGGUUAAAUUUGGCCCAGUAGUUUCAGAGGAGAAGAUUUUUGUAAAAGUUAACGAUGACACAAGAUGACGACGGAGACGGACACCGGACGCAAAGUGAUGAGAAAAGCUCACUUGGCCCUUCAGGCCAGGUGAGCUAAAAAUUAAUGCACAUAUAUGCAUGGCUAUACAUCUUUCUGUCAAUUGUCAGUACAUUCAGAGCAAUUUUUUUUU
RNAcentral lists this long non-coding RNA (261 nucleotides) under Mytilus galloprovincialis (Mediterranean mussel). Lineage: Eukaryota; Metazoa; Mollusca; Bivalvia; Mytilida; Mytilidae. The record is from RNAcentral.